AAGUUGACAACACCCGAAGCCGGUGAGCUAACUCUUAGGAGAGGCAGCCGUCGAAGGUGGGGUUGAUGAUUGGGGUGAAGUCGUAACAAGGUAGCCGUAUCGGAAGGUGCGGCUGGAUCACCUCCUUU
RNAcentral lists this ribosomal RNA (128 nucleotides) under Desulforamulus aquiferis. RNAcentral's name for it is "partial 16S ribosomal RNA". It matches the Rfam family "Bacterial small subunit ribosomal RNA", at positions 1408 to 1533 of the family's 1533-position model. Lineage: Bacteria; Bacillati; Bacillota; Clostridia; Eubacteriales; Peptococcaceae. The record is from RNAcentral.